Molecule: long non-coding RNA, 578 nt
Organism: Anopheles arabiensis
Lineage: Eukaryota; Metazoa; Arthropoda; Insecta; Diptera; Culicidae
Exons: 3
Source: RefSeq, a predicted model, not a curated record
AGUGUUGCUUCUUCUUCCAUUGAGGGAUGAUUUAUCCUAGCUAACUUGUUGAGGUGCAUGCACCAUUCAUCAACGCCUACCUGUUGGCAUCAUCAACAAUCUUCAAAGUGGGUGACGGAAAGAAAUUGUUUUCCAGUUUUAAAAUAUUAAGCACAACUCAGCCACAUAAUAACGCACUGGAUUACGCUAAGAACCUGUUGAAACGCGCGCAGCCCCCGGGCGCGAUAGGAGAAAAGGAAGAACGAGAGGAGGAAAAACUAAAGCCAGCGCGCAGCUCUGAUGGUACCCCUGACGCAGUAAGAAGAAAAAAAGAUCGAGAGGAGGAAGAACGGUACAUUUGGAAGGGGGAGACUGUUCUGCCGUCUACACAGUGUAAGUAUGCCAAAGCACGUGUUGGAAGGGAGAGAAAAAAUUGGAAUAAACCGCAUGCGAAUGUGUGCAUACAGCAAAUGUAAACAUGUGUGCCUCAUCAUUUCUAUAAGCAAUCCGAAAAAGGGGUGGAGCAAACACAUUUGUAUGCGUGAGGUGCAGAAGAAAUCAGAACGUUAUAGUAUGUGUGAACGCGAUCGUUCGGGUGG